ACUCCUACGGGAGGCAGCAGUGGGAAUAUUGCACAAUGGGAAGCCAUCGAUGCAGCCAUGCCGCGCUGUGUGAAGAAGGCCAAUUCGGGCUUGGUUAAGACACUUUCAGCAGUGAGGAAGGCGGGUACGUUAAUAGCGUGCUCGUUUGACGUUAGCUGCAGAAGAAGCACCGGCUAACUCCGUGCCAGCAGCCGCGGUAAUACGGAGGGUGCGAGCGUUAAUCGGAAUUACUGGGCGUAAAGCGCAUGCAGGUGGUUUGUUAAGUCAGAUGUGAAAGCCCGGGCUCAAGCCU
This 292-nucleotide ribosomal RNA is filed under the name uncultured bacterium. RNAcentral's name for it is "partial 16S ribosomal RNA". It matches the Rfam family "Bacterial small subunit ribosomal RNA", at positions 335 to 616 of the family's 1533-position model. The record is from RNAcentral.